AGUGAACGCUGGCGGUAGGCCUAACACAUGCAAGUCGAACGGCAGCACAGUAAGAGCUUGCUCUUACGGGUGGCGAGUGGCGGACGGGUGAGGAAUACAUCGGAAUCUACUUUUUCGUGGGGGAUAACGUAGGGAAACUUACGCUAAUACCGCAUACGACCUACGGGUGAAAGCAGGGGAUCUUCGGACCUUGCGCGAUUGAAUGAGCCGAUGUCGGAUUAGCUAGUUGGCGGGGUAAAGGCCCACCAAGGCGACGAUCCGUAGCUGGUCUGAGAGGAUGAUCAGCCACACUGGAACUGAGACACGGUCCAGACUCCUACGGGAGGCAGCAGUGGGGAAUAUUGGACAGUGGGCGCAAGCCUGAUCCAGCCAUACCGCGUGGGUGAAGAAGGCCUUCGGGUUGUAAAGCCCUUUUGUUGGGAAAGAGAAGCAGCAGGUUAAUACCCCGCUGUUCUGACGGUACCCAAAGAAUAAGCACCGGCUAACUUCGUG
This 492-nucleotide ribosomal RNA is filed under the name uncultured bacterium. Its description in RNAcentral is "partial 16S ribosomal RNA". It matches the Rfam family "Bacterial small subunit ribosomal RNA", at positions 29 to 507 of the family's 1533-position model. The record is from RNAcentral.